UCAUUACAUUUAUUUAUUUUUUUACAUAGUUGGGUGUUUUUUUCAAAAAUUAAAAAAGAAUAUUGAAAAGGGAGAAAUGGUUAUUGUACAAUUAAGUAAGAGCAGUAGUACAACAUCAGGUAGUUCCCCCUCACGUGGCUGUGAAUUGGAGGGGAAUAGUGACAGCGUGGUGGGUGUGGGUAGCAGUGCAGUUGGUUCGGAUAUAACGAACGGUGUAAGAAGUGGGUAUAGUGUGCAUGUCAGACAGGACGGACAGAACGGGCAGAACAGGCAGAAUGGGCAGAACGAAGAAACUGGUGCGAAAAAUAAAAAACCCAAUAAUAAAUUAAAUAUAACAUACGAAAGUGUAUGUAUUACAAUGUAUAAAGAGAUACAUAAAAUGACUAAGGAUGAAAAUUUGAAUAUAUGUGUUUUCUACCCAUUGUUAAGUAUAUUAUGUAAACAUCAUAAUGACAUAAAUGAAACAAUUAACUUUUUUUAUAAAAAAGUUGAUAUAUAUAUGAAAAGUAAUGAAACUCAAUUAAAUAUGAUGAAUACUAAUGAAAUAAUUAUAAUUUUAUUAUGUUUAAAUUAUAUACAUUGUAAUAUUUCACAAAUACCUAAAUUUUAUACGUUUUUAAUUAAUUUAUUUAAUGUAAUAGAAGAUAAAAAUAUUAGGAACAUUAUUAUGUAUUGUUUAAGUUCAUGUUGUCAAUAUACAAAUUUGGCUAGUUCGGAUAUCUUGUUUAUUUUGAAUAUCCAUAUGAAACAUUUGCAAUGUAUGUUAAGUCAUAGCUCUUGGAGAAGCUCAUCUGUUCCAUCGGAAAUGGAAAGUACAUUGGAGGAAGGUGUUACAAAUAUUGGUACACAUUGUGACAGCCUGAACAACAUAACAACGGAACUGAAUUGCUGUUGGUUAAACACACAAGACAACGAUGUUGACGAUAUAACGAAAGCCUUGAACAAUUGUGAUAAUUUUUAUUUUUUCAUUUCUCUUAGCAAUUUAUGUUUUUACAUAUAUAAACACUACAAUAGUGAGCGAUUUGACAGUAUAAUUAAAAAUAUAUAUGAUAUCAUUAUAAAUUUUUUGAAAAAAAACAAAAAAAUUAAUAACGUUAUAAUGAGUUUAACAAAUAUUAUGGUAUAUUUAUAUAUAAAAAAAGUAAUUACUAUACAUGAGAUAAUAAUUAAUUUAAAUAUUUUUAUAACCAAUAUAAGUAACAAUUUGGUUUAUGACACAAAAUAUGCUAUAU
Molecule: long non-coding RNA, 1232 nt
Filed under: Piliocolobus tephrosceles (Ugandan red Colobus)
Lineage: Eukaryota; Metazoa; Chordata; Mammalia; Primates; Cercopithecidae
Description: lncRNA (ENSPTEG00000006666.1)
Source: RNAcentral